CCCAUCGCUUUUGACAUCGGAAUAGCAAGCAUAAGGACAUUCGAACUCAGUUUUGGAUGCCCGAACCUCCUCGACGUCGACCCACCCCUUACCCAAGAGGUUUUAUGGUGAGAUAGUAGGAACCCUUCGGUGAACUUGGUAGCGCAUUAGAACUUUGUUUUUGCAGGUAUUGAGCUAGCUCUUGGGAUGGUGAUGGCG
Molecule: non-coding RNA, 198 nt
Organism: Momordica charantia (bitter melon)
Lineage: Eukaryota; Viridiplantae; Streptophyta; Magnoliopsida; Cucurbitales; Cucurbitaceae
Source: RefSeq, a predicted model, not a curated record